AACGAACGCUGGCGGCAGGCCUAACACAUGCAAGUCGAACGCCCGUAGCAAUACGGGAGUGGCAGACGGGUGAGUAACGCGUGGGAACGUGCCCUUCGGUUCGGAAUAACUCAGGGAAACUUGAGCUAAUACCGGAUACGUCCGUAAGGAGAAAGAUUUAUCGCCGAAGGAUCGGCCCGCGUCGGAUUAGCUAGUUGGUGAGGUAACGGCCCACCAAGGCGACGAUCCGUAGCUGGUCUGAGAGGAUGAUCAGCCACACUGGGACUGAGACACGGCCCAGACUCCUACGGGAGGCAGCAGUGGGGAAUAUUGGACAAUGGGCGAAAGCCUGAUCCAGCCAUGCCGCGUGAGUGAAGAAGGCCUUAGGGUUGUAAAGCUCUUUCAGCGGGGAAGAUAAUGACGGUACCCGCAGAAGAAGUCCCGGCUAACUUCGUGCCAGCCGCCGCGGU
Molecule: ribosomal RNA, 449 nt
Filed under: uncultured bacterium
Lineage: Bacteria
Description: bacterial SSU rRNA
Rfam family: Bacterial small subunit ribosomal RNA
Source: RNAcentral